GAGGUGGUAGUGCAGUGGUAGUAGGCUUGUUCAGUGUACAGGAGGUCUUGGGUUCGAUUGCUAAGCCUCCCCC
Molecule: transfer RNA, 73 nt
Filed under: Hordeum vulgare
Lineage: Eukaryota; Viridiplantae; Streptophyta; Magnoliopsida; Poales; Poaceae
Description: tRNA-OTHER
Source: RNAcentral